GCCUCCGUAGCUCAGUCAGGCCAGAGCUUCCGGCUUUUAACCGGAGAGUCGAGGGUUCAAAUCCUUCCGGGGGCA
Molecule: transfer RNA, 75 nt
Filed under: Thermoproteota archaeon
Lineage: Archaea; Thermoproteati; Thermoproteota
Description: Crenarchaeota archaeon tRNA-Lys
Rfam family: tRNA
About the family: Transfer RNA (tRNA) molecules are approximately 80 nucleotides in length. Their secondary structure includes four short double-helical elements and three loops (D, anti-codon, and T loops).
Source: RNAcentral